RNAcentral lists this long non-coding RNA (348 nucleotides) under Coturnix japonica (Japanese quail). Its description in RNAcentral is "lncRNA (ENSCJPG00005008565.1)". The record is from RNAcentral. Lineage: Eukaryota; Metazoa; Chordata; Aves; Galliformes; Phasianidae.
CCCAGCUCCAACCAAGUUCUGUGUGUGCUACUGAGUCUUGGCUUUUAGAGAAAAGCAAUAGAAGAAGGCGACAUCGACAUGUUUCACUGCAGCUCCGCUCACUGUUGAGAAAAGAUGCCACUUUUCCUUCUUGAUUAUGUACUGGGGAUUACCUUCUCAGCAAGACACAACGAUAAAUUGAGACAAACAAAGGAAGGAGUGAGGCAGCUCUUCGGCUACAGACCAGAAAAAGACAACUUUGUUUUGCUGCAGCUUGAGGCAUUCCAAACAAGUCAGUUUCACUUGACUUCACAAUAAAAACAGAACGGGUAUAGUAUUUACAAGAUAGAACAACCAACCAAAGAGCAC